RNAcentral lists this ribosomal RNA (477 nucleotides) under uncultured bacterium. RNAcentral's name for it is "partial 16S ribosomal RNA". It matches the Rfam family "Bacterial small subunit ribosomal RNA", at positions 30 to 507 of the family's 1533-position model. The record is from RNAcentral.
AUGAACGCUGGCGGCGUGCCUAACACAUGCAAGUCGAACGGAGUCCAGCCUUUCAGCCCUUCGGGUCAAAGAGGGGAAGACUGAGUGGCGGACGGGUGAGUAACACGUGGGCAACCUGGCUCAUAGAGGGGGAUAACAGAGAGAAAUUUCUGCUAAUACCGCAUAAGCACACCCUGCCGCAUGGCAGAGGGUGAAAAGAGAAUCGCUAUGAGAUGGACCCGCGUCUGAUUAGCCAGUUGGCAGGGUAAGAGCCUACCAAAGCGACGAUCAGUAGCCGAUCUGAGAGGAUGAACGGCAACAUUGGGACUGAGACACGGCCCAAAAUCCUACGGGAGGCAGCAGUGGGGGAUAGUGCACAAUGGGGGGAACCCUGAUGCAGCGACGACGCGUGAGUGAAGAAGUAUUUCGGUAUGUAAAGCUCUAUCAGCAGGGAAGAUAAUGACAGUACCUGAAGAAGAAGCCCCGGCUAACUACGUG